Molecule: ribosomal RNA, 236 nt
Filed under: uncultured Glomus
Lineage: Eukaryota; Fungi; Glomeromycota; Glomeromycetes; Glomerales; Glomeraceae
Description: partial small subunit ribosomal RNA
Rfam family: Eukaryotic small subunit ribosomal RNA
Source: RNAcentral
UUGGAGGGCAAGUCUGGUGCCAGCAGCCGCGGUAAUUCCAGCUCCAAUAGCGUAUAUUAAAGUUGUUGCAGUUAAAAAGCUCGUAGUUGAACUUCGAGGUUUACCCAUUGGACAGGCUUAAUUGUCUGCACUGGUGAGAUGAAUCUCUACCUUCUGAGGAACUUUCAUGCCAUUUAUUUGGUGUGAUUGGAAAUCAGGACUGUUACUUUGAAAAAAUUAGAGUGUUUAAAGCAGGC